GAUGAACGCUGGCGGCGUGCUUAACACAUGCAAGUCGAACGGAAAGGCCCGGCUUUUGUGGGGUGCUCGAGUGGCGAACGGGUGAGUAUAACACGAGUAUCCCCCCCUUAUCUUUGGGAUAUCUCAUGGAAAAGGGGGCGAUAACAGCAGAGAAUCUCUUGAUCCGCGUGGGGGGUUGGAAAAUUACGGGGGUGGGGGCUGGUCUGGCGGCUUAUGCGCUUGUUGGUGGGGUAGUGGCUUACCAGGCCUUCGACGGGUAGCCGGCCUUGGAGGGUGGCCGGCCUCAUUGGUACUGCGGUACGGACCAGACUCCUACGGGAGGCAGCAGUGGGGAAUCUUGCACAAUGGGCGCAAGCCUGAUGCAGCGACGCCGCGUGCGUGAUGACGGCCUUCGGGUUGUAAACCGCUUUCGCCUGUGACGAAGCGUGAGUGACGGUAAUGGGUAAAGAAGCACCGGCUAACUACGUG
RNAcentral lists this ribosomal RNA (468 nucleotides) under uncultured bacterium. RNAcentral describes it as "partial 16S ribosomal RNA". It matches the Rfam family "Bacterial small subunit ribosomal RNA", at positions 28 to 507 of the family's 1533-position model. The record is from RNAcentral.